Molecule: ribosomal RNA, 446 nt
Filed under: uncultured bacterium
Lineage: Bacteria
Description: bacterial SSU rRNA
Rfam family: Bacterial small subunit ribosomal RNA
Source: RNAcentral
AUUGAACGCUGGCGGUAUGCUUAAGACAUGCAAGUCGAACGGUAACAGACCUUCGGGUGCUGACGAGUGGCGGACGGGUGAGUAACACGUGGGAAUCUACCUUGUAGUGGGGGAUAAGCCAGGGAAACUUGGACUAAUACCGCAUACGCCCUAAGGGGGAAAGGAGCAAUUCGCUAUAAGAUGAGCCCGCGUCUGAUUAGCUAGUUGGUGAGGUAAAGGCUCACCAAGGCGACGAUCAGUAGCUGGUCUGAGAGGAUGACCAGCCACAUUGGGACUGAGACACGGCCCAGACUCCUACGGGAGGCAGCAGUCGGGAAUAUUGGACAAUGGGGGCGAACCCUGAUCCAGCAAUACCGCGUGUGUGAAGAAGGCCUGCGGGUUGUAAAGCACUUUUAGUAGGGAAGAUAAUGACGUUACCUACAGAAAAAGCACCGGCUAACUACGUG